This 482-nucleotide ribosomal RNA is filed under the name uncultured bacterium. Its description in RNAcentral is "partial 16S ribosomal RNA". It matches the Rfam family "Bacterial small subunit ribosomal RNA", at positions 30 to 507 of the family's 1533-position model. The record is from RNAcentral.
AUUGAACGCUGGCGGCAUGCUUUACACAUGCAAGUCGAACGGUAACAGCACUUCGGUGGCUGACGAGUGGCGAACGGGUGAGUAAUACAUCGGAACGUGCCUAGUAGUGGGGGAUAACUACUCGAAAGAGUAGCUAAUACCGCAUGAGAUCUAAGGAUGAAAGCAGGGGACCUUCGGGCCUUGCGCUACUAGAGCGGCUGAUGGCAGAUUAGGUAGUUGGUGGGAUAAAAGCUUACCAAGCCGACGAUCUGUAGCUGGUCUGAGAGGACGACCAGCCACACGGGGACUGAGACACGGCACUGACUGCUACGGGAGGCAGCAGAGGGGAAUUGUGGACAAUGGGCGCAAGGCUGAUCCAGCAAUGCCGCGUGCGAGAAGAAGGCCUCUGGGUUGUCAGCAGCUUUUGGCAGGAACGAAAAGGUGUCCGAUCAUACCGGGCGCUAAUGACGGUACGUGAAGAAUAAGAACCGGCUAACUACGUG